CUUGGUCAUUUAGAGGAAGUAAAAGUCGUAACAAGGUUUUCGUAGGUGAACCUGCGGAAGGAUCAUUAAUGAAUUCGGGCGCUCGACUCUGAAAUAUUGAGAUCGGCCCCAUUUCUUAAUCCACUUCACACUUGUGCACAUUUUUCCCACUUUCCUUCGGGAGAGUUUGAAAAGCUCUUGUGAUUUUAAUCAAGUCCAGGAUGUGAAUCCAAUUUGAAUAAGUUGUAAAACAACUACAAACGGUGGAUCUCUUGGCUCUCGUAUCGAUGAAGAACGCAGCGAAACGCGAAAUGUAAUGUGAAUUGCAGAAUUCAGUGAAUCAUCGAAUCUUUGAACGCAUCUUGCACUCUCGAAUCACUAUCGAGAGUAUGCCUGUUUGAGUGUCGCGAAACUCUCAACCCCGCCUCAUGCUUUAUUGCGUGUGGGUAGCUUGGGCUUGGAUCAUGAUCUUUGCAGUAAUGCGCUAGCAGAACUGCUGGAUUGAAAUACAACAAGCUGAAUCUAUAUACUUGCGGCUUGACCUGUCGUUGUAAGCACACAAAUGCAUUCGAUGGGGACGCGAGAAAAUGGAAUGAGCUUUCCAAAUGUGUUACACUUUGCAGCUUCUAUUAACUUAGAGCUCUUAGUGCAUUCUGACCUCAAAUCAGUAGGAUUACCCGCUGAACUUAAGCAUAUCAAUAAGCGGAGGA
Molecule: ribosomal RNA, 689 nt
Filed under: uncultured Sterigmatomyces
Lineage: Eukaryota; Fungi; Basidiomycota; Agaricostilbomycetes
Description: eukaryotic LSU rRNA
Rfam family: 5.8S ribosomal RNA (bases 232-386)
Source: RNAcentral